Xiphophorus couchianus (Monterrey platyfish) is the source of this 1393-nucleotide long non-coding RNA. RefSeq lists it as uncharacterized. Lineage: Eukaryota; Metazoa; Chordata; Actinopteri; Cyprinodontiformes; Poeciliidae. The record is from RefSeq and is a predicted model, not a curated record. The transcript has 4 exons.
CUAAAAAGUGUAUUUGGGCUGUAGUUCAUGUUAUGGACUUAUUUACAUUAACCUGACUUAAUUCUUUUACUUUAGUUAUGACAACUUGCUUUCAUGAGUUCAAUUAACUUAACAGUCACGCAUUUUAUCUCAAACGAACUUUUUAAUUUGAGUCGAAGUGAAACAAUUAAGUUUAAUGCAGCUUUACGUCUGACGUCAUUACGUAAGCUCCGCCCGGGACAGAUCCUGCAUCUCUGGUACCGACCGCCAUUUCUUCUGAGCAUUGACUGUCGACGAGAUUCAGAUAAAACAGCCUAGAACCAAGAAUCAUCAAACCACAUAAGGUUGAAGACAUUGGGAUUCGAAGGGAAUGUGUUCUGAAAGGGCUCAUCACCUUUCUUGGAGAGGAUGCAAAAGACCUUAUUAAGGAAUACUGUGGCAGCAGCGGAGAUGAUGCCCAGAUGGAACUCAAACAACUCACCAUGGCCAUGUUUGUGAUUCGGAAGGAGGGAGAGGGAUUGAAAGAACCCCCAGAAGACAUUGGCAUCGUCAUUGAGGGAGUGGAGGUGUUGCAUGACCUGACUUCAGUUGCCUCAGCAUGUGCCCUGCUUCUGGGUUUGAUAUAUUCCCUUAACUUGGCUUAUCCAAAGGUUCUGCGCUUCACAUUUGAAGUGUUCCAAAAAAUCUUCAUGCAGCUUGAGCAGCACAAGAUGUCUCCCAAAGUUCAAAAUUUGUUUGGAAGACUUCAGACCUCACAGUAAAGACACUGGCAUGUUGUGCAACAGGACAGAAGAUCUUCAGUCUUCUUUGUUUGGACAGAAGAGCGCCAUGUUUUGGAAGCUUAACACCCCAAGGAACUGCACUUUGUGAACUUCUUUUGGGACAUUGUUCAUAUUAAAGCCACAAGUAAUACAGAGUUUACUGGAUAACAAUUGACUGGUAUUUCUGGAGGAUGUUUACUGAUGAGGUUGUGAUGAACAUUAUCAUUUUGGGAGUAGGUCUUUUUUGUUUUUGACAUUUCAUAAAGUUACAUGGUUCAUCUCUUUGGUUUUGUGUGGGGAAAAAAAUACAAGUUAAGGGGGAAAAAUUAAAGUAGGAAAGUAGUAGGCUGCUGCAGUUUGUGGACAUUUUCACAGAAUUUUCUUUUUGCAUUUUUUUAAAAAUUUGAAUCAACAGAUUUGUUCAGUGUUUUUUGAAGGAGGUUGAAUGGAUCUAGAUCAUAAUGUUUACUAUUCUGUUCUUUUCUGGUGUCAGUUAAAUUAACGGACUUGGUUUAAACUAGGCAGCUAUUACACCACAUCUUUGUUUGAAAACUUGCCUAAAUAUUUUUUGGGUAUUGCUCUUAUUUUCAGUGUAAAAAUAGUCACUAGUGUCAUCAUAUUUUAUGUCAAAAACAUGUUCUCAGCAAAUGUUA